Molecule: ribosomal RNA, 422 nt
Filed under: Verrucomicrobiota bacterium
Lineage: Bacteria; Pseudomonadati; Verrucomicrobiota
Description: Verrucomicrobia bacterium partial 16S ribosomal RNA
Rfam family: Bacterial small subunit ribosomal RNA
Source: RNAcentral
UGGGGAAUUUUGCACAAUGGGCGCAAGCCUGAUGCAGCGACGCCGCGUGAGGGAUGAAGGCCUUCGGGUUGUAAACCUUUUUCGCUCAUGGUCAAGCCGCAGCUUUGGGUCGUGGUGAGGGUAGUGGGUAAAGAAGCGCCGGCUAACUACGUGCCAGCAGCCGCGGUAAUACGUAGGGCGCGAGCGUUGUCCGGAAUUAUUGGGCGUAAAGGGCUUGUAGGCGGUUGGCCGCGUCUGCCGUGAAAUCCUCUGGCUUAACUGGGGGCGUGCGGUGGGUACGGGUUGACUUGAGUGCGGUAGGGGAGACUGGAAUUCCUGGUGUAGCGGUGGAAUGCGCAGAUAUCAGGAGGAACACCGGUGGCGAAGGCGGGUCUCUGGGCCGUUACUGACGCUGAGGAGCGAAAGCGUGGGGAGCGAACAGG